CAGCCGCCGCGGUAAUGCGUAGGUGGCAAGCGUUGUCCGGAAUUAUUGGGCGUAAAGGGCUCGCAGGCGGUUUCUUAAGUCUGAUGUGAAAGCCCCCGGCUCAACCGGGGAGGGUCAUUGGAAACUGGGAAACUUGAGUGCAGAAGAGGAGAGUGGAAUUCCACGUGUAGCGGUGAAAUGCGUAGAGAUGUGGAGGAACACCAGUGGCGAAGGCGACUCUCUGGUCUGUAACUGACGCUGAGGAGCGAAAGCUAGGGGAGCAAAUGGGAUUAGAUACCCCUGUAGUCCCUGUCUCUUAUAC
This 301-nucleotide ribosomal RNA is filed under the name uncultured bacterium. RNAcentral describes it as "partial 16S ribosomal RNA". It matches the Rfam family "Bacterial small subunit ribosomal RNA", at positions 509 to 807 of the family's 1533-position model. The record is from RNAcentral.